This 2867-nucleotide unclassified non-coding RNA is filed under the name Leishmania donovani. RNAcentral's name for it is "gene:LdHU3.09.1600(CDS-product:hypothetical_prote in_conserved)". Lineage: Eukaryota; Euglenozoa; Kinetoplastea; Trypanosomatida; Trypanosomatidae. The record is from RNAcentral.
ACGCACAAACAGCUGUGCUGCCGCCGGAACAACGGACACUCUUACAGAGGUCCUCUGCGCACCUCACCUCCCUCAAGCGAGCACGAACUCUGCAGCGCGACGUCGCCCUCUCCCCCUCUCCGCCGCUCACGCAGAUUCAACGUUAGCCGAGCGGCUCUCCGUGUCCAUGCCCAAACUGUCGAGCAGCAAGGCAAAGGUGGCAGCCGCAGCGGCGAGCGGGCCACCAGCGCUGUACGGCGAAGACCUCAGCGGUCCACCGCUGGUUGUGGAGGUCACCGCACCGUCAGUGUGGACAGCGACAGCCGGCGCCGAUGCCUCCAGUAACGAGGAGUGCUUGACAGGUGGCGCGCGGUGGGGCCACGCGGCAAUGCUGUCGCCUAGUGAGUCCGUGCUCUGCAUCGUUGGCGGCGCUCCGUGCCAACGACCACACGCCGCGGAGCAGGCCCCAGCCCCGCUAUGGGAGUACACGUCGGUGGCUCCAUCGAGGGUGCCGACAGCCAUGAGCGCCUCCGCAAUGAAAGCGCCCGUUGCUGCUGCGCGCGCAUGGAAGGCGGGAGCGGCACGGCGGGCAGCGCGGCAGGAUGCGAUCCGCGGUGCGAACGCCGGCGCUGCGGAAGACCACGACUGGCCGCUUUUUGCCUCCUGGUGGGCCUCAUGGCCGUCGGGCAACGGCGCCGACGGGCCGGCAGUGAUGUACGCCGACGGUGGCUGGAGUGGCGCUUGUCGUAUUGCCGGAGUGCGUGCGUUCGCGGACAGCGCCAACGGAGACCCCAGCUUCACGCUCCCACCGUCAUCUGCAGCGGGUACCAGCAGCACCCGCAGCCACCAUAGCGUCACGUGUGUGCUGGGUCGGCUACUCCGCUUCGGAGGCGAGACGCAGCAAGGCACCGCCGCAGCGCUGGAGGAGAUUGACGGCGCGUCUGGGAGCUUGGAUGAGAAGCAGCAGGCUGACGGGGAGCACAGAAACGCCGAGGGUAGAGAAGUAGCAGUUCCCGAGCCUACGAGCACGACACCCAGGUUGCAGCCGGCCCUUGGUCCGCCGCCGCCGCGGGCCGCUCACGGCGCGUGCAGCCUCAGCCAACGAUACAUUGUGAUUGUGGGUGGCCGACAAGUCCACACGCAAGCGGACGACGUCAGUGCAGUGGCCGCCGGCGCCUCGGCUGGCAAGGGGGCACGCGCGAAGAAGACUACCGCGAUGCGCGCGUUGUCACCGGGUAAGCGUGGUGGCGCAUCUGGGAAGGAUGGGAAGGGCUCCUCUGCCGCUCUCGAGGCGUCUGUCCCCGCGUCCGCAACGCUCACCACGCUGAAGGAUGUAGCCGUCUAUGAUGCCAAGCUUGGCGCGUGGCUUCCGGUGCGUGUGGUGGGAGGCGGCGCGGUACCCUGCGCGCGGUACGCAGCGGCUGUCGCAGCAGUGCCGAUGCCUGGUGCCGCCCCACCGACAAGCCGCCACCGCAGCCCCGUCGCGGAUGCUGUGCAGCGCGAGGUGCUGGUCGUCGGCGGCCUCGACGCCGAAGGUGCCGUAUGCGCUGAUGCGUGGCUGAUGCAGGUAAUGAGCGGCGCCGACGCAGAGCUUGCAGAGGUGCCUGCUGGCACGCUGGCGGACAGCGCGAGCACGGCGGUGCCAGUGGUGAAGAUUCGCUGGGUUCGGCUGGAGUUACCGAAGGCGGCGGCUUCUGUGUUUCAGCGCCACCACGCUGCCGUGGCUGUCUCAAGUCAGCGCAUUAUGUACCUCGUUGGGGGCUGCGGGCCGCAUGGCGCAGCAGAGCCGUGCGCUUGCACGCUGCAGCUGCCACCCCUGACAAGCGCGUCGGUGCGACUCGCUGACGAGGCGGGCGGGGACGCAGAGGGCGCGGUGCCGAAGCGGCCAUCCGCAAACGCCAAGGGUCUCACGGCAUAAACUGGAAAAUAUGAGCGUGAUACCGUGCUGCUGCUGCUGCUGCUACUGCCACAGUUGGUGGGGGGUGGAGGGGAUGGCGGCGUCGGUCAAGGUGGAGGUAUGGUGCGCCACGCCAGUGGCUCGGUCCAUGGACCGUCCUGUCGGAGCAUCACCCCGCUGAGCCCCCUGAUUCGCUUCCCCGUUUGUGAUGGCCGUUCUCCCACCGCCCUCCCACCCCCUUCGCUACUCGCUUCACGUGCACCGAGUGUUUUCACACGCGUAUGAGCCCACGUGCGUCUCUGUGCGUGCAUCGGCUUCGAUGUCUCCGAGGUGCGAGCGCCCUCGGCGCGCGCUCGUUUCUCCCUUGCGCUGCAACAUGUACAAAUAGUGCGUGCGCGUCGUUUCUUCCGUUACUUCUUACGAUGAGGGCGGGUGGGUGGUGGCGGGCGACACGUGCACGCGUCGCACCAACAUCGCCGCUGACGGCAUGUGCGACGGACCUGCUCCUUUCGCGGAGCAAGGGAGGAAAGAGGGGGGAAAACCCACCCACCCACCCACCCCCUCCCGGCGUGACGGAGAGAACAAAGGGCGGGUGAGGAUGGAGGAUGGAGCGAAUAGAGAGGGGAUGGUUGCGAGGCUGGUGGCGAUGUUUCCACUCGGUAACGGCACCGCGGCGAGUCACGGAUUUCACUGCCUUCGCUUCGACCCCUUCUCUCUUCGCUGUCGCUCACGCCCCACCCACUUCACGGUCGCCGUGCGCGUUUUGUUUGCCGUUCACAUCUCGCCCAUCCCCCACCCUCAAUAUGGCCCAUCGGGCACACCCGCAUACAUCUGCGCACGCGUGCUGUGCAAGUACUUAUCAAUGUGACCAGCCCCUCCCCUCUCCUCUCCUCCUACGUAGACGCGUACGCCUGGAGGGGCCUUGAAAGCAUCGCGUGGCCCAUCCUCAGUCUUUCUCUGCCCUCUAUCCCGCCUGCACGUCUUCGCCAAG